UAUGAUGUAUGUGAUAUAUGCUUAUUUGAAUGGCAUGAUUAUUAUGAAAUUUGUAUGGAUGAAUGAUUGAAUCAUUUAGAUAUUUUUAAUUUUUUGUUAGAAAAAUUAUAAUAAAUAAAUAUUUUUUUAAAAAAAAAACGGAUUUUCCUGAAAAUCGUGUGCUUGAAGAACACAUUGCCACAGCUACAUCCACGAUCAGUCGUGCCCAACGUUGAAGGCCAAGUCAGCAUGCACUAGUGCUGAUGGCCCAAAAAUGUGGUCUUGCAUAGCGCGACUGCGACGUGUUGAUCGUGAGGAUGGAGGAAGAUCUGUGAAGGCCGAAGCAUCUCCAUUCAACAACGCCCAAUGAUGGUGUUGAAAACCUGUCGCUGGCAUCGCACACUUGCCAUGCGUUGUAGCCACUUCUGUGGCUGCUAAGCUCAUCGUCGGACGU
RNAcentral lists this long non-coding RNA (433 nucleotides) under Manihot esculenta (cassava). Its description in RNAcentral is "long non-coding RNA (MESC_LNC011036)". Lineage: Eukaryota; Viridiplantae; Streptophyta; Magnoliopsida; Malpighiales; Euphorbiaceae. The record is from RNAcentral.